RNA transcript from Falco peregrinus (peregrine falcon), 12740 nucleotides. It is a transcript of the gene named cap methyltransferase 2, with no coding region annotated. The record is from RefSeq and is a predicted model, not a curated record. Lineage: Eukaryota; Metazoa; Chordata; Aves; Falconiformes; Falconidae. The transcript has 3 exons.
GCCGCGCGGAAGCCGGGGCCUCGCGUGGCGAGCGGGCGGCGCGGGGAGACGCCUCGGCCGGCAGCGGCUCUGCGAGCGGCCGGGGUGGUUGGGAGCCGGCUGGGCCGCGCUGGGGAGCGGGGGGGAGAGCGGGUUUUCCCGGGGCGCUGUGGCCCUGCGGGUAUGUGCGGGCCAGGCGGCUGAGAGGGCCGGCCCGAGGCGUCUGGGCCGCCAGCCUUCCCCCGGUGUGGGGCGUGUGGGGGGCCCAGCGCCGCAGCAGCCUUGAAUCGAGUCUAGGCCAAUGGGGAGUGGAAAUAACUACAAAGAAGAAAAAGCAGGUUGUGAAUCAAUUCAAGAAUGAACAAAUGUAAGAAGCCUUAUGUUGACAAGGCUCCAAACCUUGAAAAGUUCAGUCCUGAAAUUCUUUCUGAAAUUGAGGCGCUCUUUGCAAAGAAGUUUACUUACACUAAGCCAGUGAAUAAUGAAUGGCAGCUACCGGAUCCCAGUGAUGCUUUUACAUGCGAUCAUGAGGAAUUGAACUCACUCCUGGCUCUGAAGGACUCUAUGAAUGAAGUGAAGAAUCAACUGAGUGAUAAGAACCUGGAUGAAUGGCAUCAGCACACCUCAUUUACCAAUAAAGCGGGGAAAAUAAUUCCUCAUGUCAAGAAAUCUGUGAAUGCUGAGCUGUGUACCCAGGCAUGGUGCAAAUUUCAUGAGAUCCUGUGCAGCUUUCCUCUUCUCCCUGAAGAAGCUCUUCAGGAUGGAGAGCUGAAUUCUGUCCACCUCUGUGAAGCACCUGGAGCUUUUAUAGCCAGCCUCAAUCACUACUUGAAAUCCCACCAUGUCCCUUGUGACUGGAAUUGGGUAGCCAACACUCUAAACCCAUAUCAUGAAGCAAAUGACACCCUUAUGAUGAUCAUGGAUGACCGUCUUAUAGCAAAUACAUUGCCUUGGUGGUACUUUGGCCCAGAUAACACUGGUGAUGUAACGACAUUGAAACAUCUAACAGGACUUCAGAACUUUGUAAGUAAUAUGGCCACAGUUCACUUAGUAACUGCUGAUGGCAGCUUUGAUUGCCAGGGAAAUCCAGGUGAACAGGAGGCUCUUGUCUCACCCCUUCAUUACUGUGAAACAGUCACUGCGUUAAUGAUCCUGGGCACUGGAGGAUCCUUUGUUUUGAAGGUGUUCACGCUGUUUGAACACUGUUCUACCAAUCUGCUCUUUCUGCUGAACUGCUCUUUUGAGGAGGUCCAUGUCUUUAAGCCAGCCACUAGCAAAGCUGGAAACUCCGAGGCCUAUGUGAUUUGUCUUCGCUAUAUGGGCAGAGAAAGUAUUCAUCCGCUGCUUUCUAAGAUGAUACAGAACUUUGGAACAGAAAUGGUCAACAAAGCACUUUUCCCCCUGCGUAUGCUACCAGAAUCUUUUCUUAAAAUACAUGAAGAGUGUUGCAUUUUCUUCCACAAGUGCCAGGUAGAGACUAUCUCUGAGAACAUCCAUCUAUUUGAGCACUUGGAAGAAGCAGAGCAGACGAAACUGAACACGUUAAGAGAUUGUGCAGUAGAGUUCUUCAUGCAAAGAUUUCACAUGAAACCCAUUGCCAGAAACAACUGGCUUGUCAAGAAAUCUCAGACUGGUUGUAGCAUGAAUGCAAAAUGGUUUGGGCAAAGAAACAAGUAUUUUAGUACAUACAAUGAAAGGAAGAUGCUUGAAACCCUUACGUGGAAUGAUAAAGUGGCAAAGGGCUAUUUUAAUCACUGGGCUGAAGAACAUAGUUUAAAUAACGCUGGUAAAAUGUGUAUCUUGGAAGGAUCAUCUUCUAACCUUGAGUGUAGCUUGUGGUACGUUUUGGAAGGAAAAAGGCUGCCGGUGGUAAAAUGUUCUCUAUUUUGUGAUGGCCAAGUCCUGGAAAAUCUUAAUGAAGCUAUGAACGAAUUGGUGGGGGGGAGGCUGAAAAGCAGACAUAUGCUGCAGACUUGUCACUCGUGUGAACCUCUUCCUGGGGAACUGAUCCUGGCAGAAGUGUAUGAUCUCUCCAGGUGUCAUCAGGAAGUCCUAAAUGAAAGAUGUAGUGAGAAGUUCAGGUGCCUUGUGGUAGACUUUCCAUCCCUCUGUGAUACUGAAAGCCAACCUGGUAUGGAAAUAAGCCUCCUGGACUCGGCCACACUGCUGACUUUCAGCUUCUCUUUACUUUAUGAUGGAGAACCAAAGUACCAGCAGCAGCUUUUGGAGUGUGUCCUGUGUUCGUUGAAUCAUCUUACAAUGGGAGAUGCAUUGAUUUUGCCUAUUCUCUCUUGUUUCACACGCUUCACGGCCAGCCUGGUCUUUAUACUGCACUGUUGUUUCAGAUGUAUCACAUUUGCUUGUCCAACCUCUUGUGAACCUCUAAGAACUAGUGCGGCUUUGCUGUGCGUUGGUUACAGAGGUGUCCCAAAUCCAGUUGUUGAAUAUCUGCAGCAUCUGAAUAAACUAAUAAGCUCUUUACUAGACACAGACUCUCCACAGCAGGUUUUGCAGUUUGUGCCUAUGGAGGUUCUCCUCCAGGGCAAGCUGUUGGAGUUCUUGUGGGAUUUAAACACAGCCAUUGCAAAGAGACAACUCCACUUGAUUGUGCAAGCUAAGCAGCAGCAAAUGACUAGCAAUAUUUCACUUAAAGCAUAGACUUGAGCAAGUUGCCACUGCUAGACCUUGCUUCACAGGCAGGUAGAAGGUGUUAAAAACAUUAUUAAUGGGAAGGUAAUGUUACUGUAAAACCCUGGUGUGACAUUGCUAGUGUUGGGAGGGUGUUUUGAGCUGCCAGUCCCAUUUAGACCAUAUUGACCUGCGGCACAUAAACCUGAGGCUUAAUCUCAGGCUUGGGAGACUUGGGGGGUGGGGGGGCAGUGACUGAAGUGGAGAAACUGCUCCUCUGUCACAGCUCUCCCUGAGCAAAUUUCUUUGUGUACCACCUAGGUCAGAACCAUGGUCUUCCAGUGAGAAGACCGGGUUUAGACCUGUUGUGUCAAGCCAGGUGAUGGGGAACCCUCUUUGUGUGACAUUAGCCCUCUUCUGUGCAGCAAAAUAUAGGAGUUCUGACACACCUGUAUACUUUUCCAGGGUUUGUAGAAGCUGAAACAUGAAGUUUGGGCCAGUGGUGUUCAAGCCUGAUGUAAGGCUCAAGGGAUGAGGGUCUUGUAAGCAGACAGCUGUCUUUUAAAGGCUGGGUUAAAAAUGGCUGCCUGUAAGCAGUAGCAGAGGUGUCCUGUGAAUGGUGCUCUUUGCUUUUAAUUUCAUUUAAACAAAGAGCAGCAAACUGUGUAUGGUUUUUGACAGGUGGUUGUGUGGCUUUGUCUCCCCAUUGAUGAACAGGCUGUUAAAAUGUUAUUUUUAUGUGGCUUAUGGGUCCUCCUUAAAAUAAUUGGAGACUCCUGAGUGAAAGUGAAGACUUGCAUCUGUAUGGCAGCAGCUAUUAAUGAGGAACUACAAAUCUUUUCUCAGACAAAAAACAUGAUCAUGCACAAAUUUGUGUAUCAAGAAGUGCUCUGUGUGCCGCUGGAGGAGCUUUAAGCUGAAGAAAUGUGACUUUCUUUAGAAAAGUGAAUAAAAUUUCAGUUUGCUACCCUGAAGGAUAAAAAAGAUUAAAUCGGUACUGUUCCUUUAAGGGAGUCAGAUUUUAUUUUCCAUAUUGCUCCUUUGUGAGCUAAAUUUUGAGGCCUAACUUGUGUAGGUGAACAUUUAGUUUUAAGCCUGUAGUAUAUGUGGAAAAACCUGCUCAGAGGGAGAAAACAUGUUUAAAGGGAAAAUGACUUUGCUGUUGAUAUGUGCAAGAUCUCAUAGAAAAAGGUGGAAAGAGUGGAGUUAGUAAGAAGGUAAAUGUAGUCUGCUGAUGAAUUACCAGUCACCUGCUGGAGGCACUUCUAAUUAUAUAAUGUGGGAGCUUGAAGGGUAAUUGAUUACUGGUGAGGGAUUAAAAGCACUGCUGAAAAACUGUUUUGUCUGGAGAUGCUGCACAUUUAAUAGGCUUCUUUGCCACAUUGUUCAGGGCACAGUUCAAUGUGUUUUAACAGUUCAUUUUUUUUAUUUAACUUGAUAGAUGAAUCAGGUGGUGGCUCAGGGCUGACGAAUGCAUAACGUUUUCUAAAAAUCUUGCUUUUUACACUUGCACAUAAAUAGAAGCAGCCUAAACAAAGACUUCUGGGAUUGGUCAUUGUCCAUGUAAUUUAUUUAAAUGCACUUGCUCUUUUUGCUGUGAGCUGAGUCAUGCUUCCUCCUUUAGACCAGGAAGGAAGGGAACAGAGGCUACAGACUUGGGAGAGAGAUGCAGUAAGAGCUUCUCUAAAUCAUUUUUUGAACCUGUGAAGUCAAGAGUGCAAGCAGGGCCACAGAUGUAUUUUACUGAAGAAUAAAAAAGAAAUGCUGAAAAACAAAAUAAGGAAGGGGGGAAGUAUUGUAGAAGAAUGGAUGAUAACAGUAUCAAAAAUCACCUGUGAAAGCCUUCUUUAUCUGAAACAAAAAGCAGGAUAAAGAUAUUGUCCACCAAAGACACCUCUGUGUUUCUGCCACUAUUUCAGAGGUGAUUAAUCGUUCUGAAACUCCCACUGAGCUGAAGCAUUUGAAAAGAGGUCUCUGAAAGCAGGGGUAAAUGAGGUAAUUAAGGGCAUGGAUGUACUUACACUGUGAUACUCUGCCAUACAGGCCUGAGUAGCAAGAAGCAUCUCAUCUAGUAGGUACUUAAAUAACUUGUUUUUGUCUACUAACAUUAGUCUCAUAUUUUUAAGUUAUUAUCUUGUAUGUAAAGUAAAAUCCUGAGGUGACUGACAGACCGUGAGAGAAAAUGCGUUUAUUUUUUCAAGCAUUCCUUGGUCUGUUCUGUGUGUCUGACAAACUGUGCAGCUUCCUUGAGAUUCCUCCCAUCCUGUUGUUCCCCGUAUCAUCAGCCAGGUGCCCUUUUUUCAUGAACUUUUAGAAUAAAUACUUCAGAUGGUCACAGACCUUUGGGGGGAGUUAGGACUGUGUACAUCAGUAUGCUCUAGACUGAGCUGGUGGGGAAAUGCAAUCCAUCUGUUUGGAAGGACACCCCAAAACUGUGUGCAAGCCCUUCUGUGGAAAGCCAGGUCUCUAAAUGGAAGGAAAUCCAAUGUCCUGUGGAUCCUGAUGCCCAAUUUGCUCUGGAGCUUUUUUGUUGGCAGGCUUGGGGAGAUGACAGGAGAAAUGCCUUAAUGGCAGCUGCUCCUUGUGUUAAAAAGGAUGGAUGUGAUUUAGAGAGUCUUUUUAUUAUUAUUGUCUUAAUGGCAGGAGUUUCAAAGUUAGGAAUGACACUUGUCUUUAAUUGUGAGAAUCUAACAUUGUUCUAGUUGCCUUUAGACCAAAGAUUUCUGUGAGAAGUGACAAUUUCUGGUGAGACUUUCGGAAUAUGUAAGAAUGCAUGGGAAGAAUGUAUGAACCAUUGUGGAGGGGGUCUGAUGACUCCUGCCUUAGUCGUGGCUGUCAAGUUUUGGCCAAUUUGAUUUUAUGUUUAGGUGACACCCAAUUAAGUGUCUCAGUAUCCUGGCUGCUUGAAGAUGAACUGGGUAUUGGUUUUCAUCAUUAGGAGCUUAAGGUUUCACAGAGGGGGAAUUAGGUUUCACAGAGGGGGAAUUAGAGGGGGUGGAGAGAAUAAGUUGGUUAUCCUGUGAUUGAGAUUCAUGCAAACUUGAGGUGAAAGUUUUGUAGCCCUGCUAUCACAGGUUUCCAAUGAAGGACCAAUAUUUAGGCCCAAUGAUUAGCUAUGAGCUACAUUAUUUUACUGAAACUUCUUGGAUUUUUUUUUUUUUUAAAGUCAGCAUAACAUUUUGAAAUCAGUUGCAUGAGGGUUGAAUGAAUUGGGUAUUCCAUUAAGUGAAAAUGCUGUUGUGUUUUUUUUUAAAGUUGAGUUCCUUUAAAGUUAAGAGAAGUGCUGCUUAUUUUUACUAAUUUUAUAUUGUAUUUAGAAUAAUUUGGAUGUGCACAAACUAUAUGUUCUUGCCGCUGACUUGCCAAUGUAAUUUCUACAAAACAUAAUGAGAUUUAUAUUAUGAAAUCUGGCAGUCUAUUAAAAUGGUACUAAGUGAUGUCUAUUCGUCUUAAUUAAGCUAGAUGUAUUAAAUUACUAGUUGUAAAAGUAGAAUAUGUAGCAGAAUUGUAUUCUAUUAGGAAACUUGGCAUUUAAUGGGAGGGGAUUAAGAUUGCUUAUGUAGAAAGUAGGAGAAAAGAAAAACACCAUUCAAUUUCGGGCCACUGAGCUGGGUGCUUUAGGAUGAAGAAUAACAUCAAAUCCUUGAUUCACUGGAAGCAAGGGUUGGCCAGUAAGCAGAAGCCUCAGAGCCUCCUGUUACCAUCCCUACAAACUGACUUUUGACAUCCUUUUAAAUUGCAGUCUAUUUAAUUCUUAGUAGUGAAAUGGGGGAAAUCCUGUGUAACUUGUUUUACCAUUUUGGGUGGUAUGAAAUGGUGUUUACUUGUCCCCAUUUCUCAUUUUUAAACAAGAGCCUCUAAAUUUCACCUCAUAGUCUUUGAGAAUCAGUCUCUCUUCUUAGCACUUUAGUGGAUGAAAUCUGAGAUGAAAAUUUCCUUGCUGAAGUCGAGUAAUGGUUUCUCCAUGUCAUUUUUGCAAAUAUUUUCAUGAAUGCCAUGCUGAUAUCCUUAGUUCCGGUUCUUGGUGUGGUUCAGUCCAAAUGGAGCUGUUUAUGCCAGAAGAGUUCUCAGCCUGUGGCUGUUCUUGCUUGCUUUUUAAGUGAUAAUUUGGAUUGCCAUUGAGCCCUCUCUUGUAACCCUUUAUGGGUUGGAGCUGAUUGCAAGUCUUAAGAAUGAAAUUUGCUAAAAGAAUUAGCCAGUGGCUGUAGACGCUUAGGCUUGUAACAAGCAGAACCUUUAGGGGACAUUUAAAUGCAGGAAACUUUUCCAGGAGAGGCUCAGAACUUGCAGCUGAUGGGAUUUGCUAGCCUUUCCUUGCUAAAAAUUCUUUAAAAAAGACUUUGAGGCAUAACCACCUAAACAAACAGUUCAGCAGUUGUGUGUGCCUUGUGCAUGUUCAUGCUUGCAUGUGUGGUAACCCCCAGGGUUGUACAGCUGUGAAGUUUUUUUUGUUUUGUAACUGAUUCAUGUGUGCUUUUGUUUUUAAGGUUGUUUGUAUUUUUCUAAGUAGAUGAAAGUAUCUUGGUUUACAUGGCUAUUGCUUCUUUUCAUUUGGUCUGCAACUGAGUGUUAAAAGAUCUUUUUUUAAAAAGAAAGGAAAAUAAAUAUUAUUUGGAGAAAAUAAAGUAUUUUGUUUUAGGUUUUAAAUGUUGCUAUUAUGUGUUUCUUUGCCAAACAUGGAACAAAACAAUGAAGUGCAGUAGGGAGAAGUCUGGGGCGGUUUAAUGUUUCACUGGUUUUGAGCCACAGUUUCCUCAUACUGCCAUUUGCAUCCAUCCUUAAUGAGCAAAGGAUGCAGGGGCAUUGGAGCGGCCUGCAACGGUGAGGGUGGUGUUUGAUUCUCACAUUCUUUAACUGCCUUUACCUUUGCAGUUUACCAGCUCAAAGAGAGACUCCAGUUGUAGAUGUGGUCAAAGCAGUGUGUAGGAGGCCUGCACAGUGAUCCCUUGGCCUUGUCACUAAGCCUAACAAUCUAUGUCUCCUUGUGUGGUUGCUGUAACCUACUUUAACAGCAGGGAUUUUGUCCUAAGGAUCUUCAGUUUCUCCUGCUGUGACAGCCACUCUAGUAGUACAAGGCUGUUAUAUGCUGUACUUGUGUCUGCGAAGUCUAUUAUUAAUCCUUAUCCAAAUGUUUUCAUUCUAAGUGCUUGCCUUCACUGAAUGGUAUUAUUAAGAAAAAGCUGUGUGCCUUAUUCCUCAGGGCUGGCUCUGCUGUACUGACAAGGGUUCCAGCUGAUUGUCUUUGGUUUGGCUAGCCGAUUUGUCUUGAGACUGCUUGCUAACCAAUUUUGAUUGCAGUUAUUAAUGCUAACAGUUUUUUAUUGCUUUUCUCUUUGCAAGUGAACUCAAAAUUGGCUGGGGAAGAUAAUGCUGUGUCCUAGAGACUUGGAAAACUGUUUAAAGCUCUGGAUAUUGUCCAACUUUAAAUUCUCGCACCUUCCACAUGAAGUGAGUAUCACAGCUCUCGGAAAACAGACCAGAUUCUAACUGUACUUGCUCAGACUUCUGGGGGGAGUCGAUAGGAAGCAGAUUAGCCUCAAAUGUGAAAUGCAGUCUGACUGGUGUCUUAGUGGGUCCUCCUGUCUUAGAGGGGGCAGACAGGACAGCCAUUGCUCCUUGGGCUGGGUGCUGGGACAGCAGGGUUUGCUAAAGUGGGACUGGAACAGAAGUUACAGGCCUCUUCUGAGUCCUCUAGUGUCAUCCUGAAUAAAAACCGUGACAAGUUUAAGGGACAUCAGAACACAUUUGGGUCUAAGCACAUGUAGUGGCUGAGAAUACCUAUUAGUUUCAGUAACUGACUUGGCUUGUCAUGUCAUUGUUUGCCGUUUUGAAGUGACCUGAACUGUUUCCUGAAGGAAACAGUGACAGCAGCAGUCUCAGGAGCCUGAGUGGAAGUAAUGAAGUGGUAAUUAGCAAUUAAUAAAAUGUGGCGGAGCUUACAAUUUUAAUAACUGCUGCACUGGCCUAGAGGUCUGGUGCUCGAGUGAAGUAGUCCCUUGGAAAUCUCCAACUCUGAAGCUUAAUUAUGAUUUCCUUUAGACGCUAUCUGCUCUUAGAGCCAACUUGUAUAUUUAUUUUUUCCCCUGAAGGUAGAUGAGGCUUUAAGGGCUCUGCUUCUGUGCUUUUUCAGGGCAGAGAUUAAAUGGAAGCUAGGAUUAAGAUAAGGGGACUGAGAUGGCCUCUGUGACUGAUGUAUCAUGCAGAGACUGGGAGGGCAUGGUUCUGUUAAAAUAGCCAGCUGGGUCUUGGAAAAGUGUUUGGAUAUAGGAGGAGCUGGGUAAAAAUGUGGACAGAGCCUGCUCUGUAUUUUGCCCAGGGUUUUUGUCUUGUUUCCAGUGGGAGUACAAACGGAGACUGUGCUGUCUGUCUGCUCUUCUUUUCGCCUUCCUUCUUCGAGCCUUUCUGAGCCAUGUCUGGCAGAUGUCAAGUUCUUACAGAUACUAUGAUAAUGAAAGGCAAGGAUUGCUAAGUAACCCUCCUGACCUGAAGUUACCACUGGGUUACUAACAGCAGGCAAACCCUGGAGUCGGAGACCAGUGACUGUCUCCUGAGGAACAAGGAUGCCUGUAGUGGUGGUGAUGCGCGGUGGCGAAGCUGCUUGCUCCUGGGAUCUGUGGUAUUGCUUUGCUUUACCAGUCACGUGCUGGUUUAUGCCUUGCUGGGUGCUGUAAGGUCAGCUCAGGUCAGAAGCCAUCACCACUUCUUGCCUUCCUAAAGAUGAGCCUGAAAAAUAGUCAGAUGACGAAAACCAAUAGCCAAACAUCACCUGCCUUCCCCUCAGCCCCUCCGCGACGUUAAUCAUCGAUGGCAGGACCUAACAGCGAGUCAGGUUAGGCUGAAUUCUGGUUUUUGUUUUCAGCUAUAGGAAUGCCCUAUGGACUCGAACAGAGCAAAACACCUUUCAAGCAGCAAAGGUGAUAAAAUGGGACAUGGGAAUUUUGGAAGAUGUAAGUGGGACUUUAGAUGUCACUUGUUUCCACUGAAGGGUUGUAUUAAGGAUUCAAGUUUGUCUUGUGUACAUCGGUUUUAAUUAAUAGAGCAGAUGCACCAACAAUGCAUCUGGAAAUGAAAUGCAGGAGAAAAGAAGAGGCAGCUGGUCCUAGUGGAUGUAAAUAUUUGCUUUUUGGGAAGUGAAGCUCUGCAGAAACUUCAGGGACUCUUAAUUCAAAUUCAGAAGCCUUUUUUAUUUUGCCUGUGGAGAUAUAUGGAGCAGAAGAAAUUAACCAUAAUGCUUUGCUUGGUUCUAGUGCAUGUGAUGUAAGAAGCGUAAGUUUUUGGAGUAGGGCCAACCCAUGAAUAUCUUGGUUCCUGCUGAGAUAUUAAGGCCUGGCCUCUGUUAGUGCAAGAUGCAUUGAUGUCAGAGGAGCUGACUCUAUAUCAAGAAGCCUUCCCAGGCGUCUGCAGUAUGGUCUUGGGUUAUGAGCAUGGACAAAUUGAUACACUAAUUUUUGACCUGCUAUAGCAGAGCGGGUGCAGUGAUGCUACUUAACUAGGGUCUUAUUGGGAAACCAAGUGGAAGAGGUAUGUACGUAUGAAAGCCUCUGUUGAGCAGGUGUGGCAGGCAUGGAUAUGGUCUCUGGUCUUCAUGUGAAGCCGAGGGUUAAAAAAAAAGCAAAGCGUGAGUUAGGGCUUCACGUGUUUUGGUGGGACCCUUCACAGUUCUGCUGUGUUAUUUUUGAGGACUCUGCUUGAACUGCAGAAGAACAGUCUUUCUGUUUUGGGCUUUUUGGGGAGUCCCUGGCUGUCUUGUGUUAUCACUUGGAGAGCUUUUUGUUCUGUUUUGGUUUUUUUGAUUAGUGCCUGAAACUGCUAACAAGAAUUGGAAAACACAAGCCUAGAAGCACAACAUACCACAACAAGUGUAGAAUGUAAAAAGCAGAACAAACCAAACCCACUGUUAAAACAAGCCGUGACUGGAAAGCAAUGGUGCCCAUCCCCGAACUGGCAGUGCUGGAGAAGGCAGGCAAGAAGGGGGAGGGGUUGAUCCCAGAGCAGUAUUUUCUACUUGGUGAAGCAGGCAAUGGGGAUGGGAAGGAUUCCUCUAAGCAGGGAAGUGGUAGCACAAAUGUUGUUAAUGCUUAUCGCAGGCCGUCUGAGGGUAAGACAGCCUUCCUUGCUCUGCCGUUUUGUUUGAAAUAGGAUGUCUGGAUGCCUUGCACCCCACCUUGCAUGCAUCUAUGAUGGUCUCAUAUUUUGUAUCUUGAUGCUGAGAAUGCUACAUAGCAGAGGGAGCACCUCAAAAUGGCAGUACAGCGCAGAGGUGAGCUGGAUCUGGAUCAAGGUGAAGCUCCUCUGUCCUUAUAACUUUUAUGAAAGGAAGCUUGCAGGUGUCAGCAGUGCUGCUGCUGAGGGGAUUGGGUUUUCCAGACCUGGGGAGCAGGUUAUUCCCCUGCUUAUACUGUCUUUGCGUUGUGAAAGCUUGUGUACAGUAAUGCUUUGCUGUCCAUCGCUUCUGUUUCAGAGCUCUACUGUCAGUCCCUACUCUGGUUACUAUUGUCAUUGUCCUGUUCUCCUUCAUUUUUCAUCCUUAAUUGACCUUGGCGAGCAGCAGGCAUCUGAAGGUGAUGAUGAAAAUUUAAUGGAUUGGAAGAGGCAGCAGGACCACUGGCAGUGAAAGAUUUGUCAGGUGUUCAGUCUUGUAGGUGAUGCGGCUGAGAUCUUCCAGAAUGGUGAUCUGUUGGAAGAUGAGUCAGAUUCAAGGCGUCAUGAAGUUUAAUUUUGCAUUAUAAAGGGCUUUUCCGCUCUAAACUUAAAGCAAGCAAACAAGCAGUUGUUUCUUGGUAUUCCAAAAGCAAGUGGAAUCUCCUUUACUACUUCUGUCUUUUACCAGGUGUUGAAUUGGCAGCUGACAACCCCAGUGGUCUUGCUUCUGUUUCUCAGUUUUCCAUGUUGCGCGUGCUAUCCUUCUGUAUUUAGGUUGUGUGCAUUUUUGAAGUGCCUGCACACAUUCCUCUCUAUCCUGCUGUUUCUUACAGGAAAAACUGAGUUGCAGACAGCCACACUUUCAGGAUCACAUCCUCGGCAGGUAAUGGGAUAUGCCGUGGUCUGACUGUAUGAGGAAUUAUUGCAGAACCAGAGGUUAGGGCUGGGGAGACAAAAUGUUUGAACAGCGAUGAAGAGAAGGAUGCAAAGCCCCUUGGUUAGUGGAGUAAUUAUCUGUUGUUGAGGAUUUCUGGAAAAUAGAAGAGUUGUUAUGUUUGUGUCUGACUUUUUUUAUUCCCUUGCUACAGCUAGGGCCACUCUGUGUGCUGUUCCUUUCUAGUCUUGACCUUUUUUCUGGAGUUGCCCUACCUAGUUUUUGAGCUCCUUGACAAUAAGGUAGUUUACGGUGAAAACUAGAUGUCUUCAUCCGAGGUCAUACGGCUGCCAUGUGCAGGCUGUGUCUGCCUGAAUCAGGGGAUGGAGCACAAUCCAGGCAGUAAAGCAGGGAUCUGAGUGGAUAAUGAGAGUUCCAAAUGCCUGGAGCUGCCAGGCGCCUGGGCACGUGAAGGUCUCGAGAAGGGGGACUUCUGGAGUUUGGGGCAAUGAAAAAUGUGCCCAUGGGCUCAGUGCGGGGGCCAUGGCAGGUGGGAUGAGGAAUGGAGAAGGGGUUUGUAUAAAUGCUGACCUGUAGCCGCCAGCUUCUAGUGGCACCGUAAAAUCUUGAGGGCUUGAUCUAUACCUUAGGUGACUGAAGAUCAGGUAAACCUGUUGCCUGAUGUUUAAAUGCUGGGGUAACCUUGCUCUGUAGGGGACACAGGAAGCUUUGGAGGCAAUGCUGUGACAACGGGAGUGCUGUAAAGCAACAAGAGGCGGCAGUUUGUCGAAUUACACCAUCAGAUGUGGCCGACCUUUGUGGCGAAGGGAAUUGCUGUGGCACAGGGCAGAGGGCCUGGAAAUCUGUAUCCUGGGUGGCUUGUUGGGGGAGACUGACAUUUUGUCGAGGACUUGACAUGCCUGCUUCCCAGUGAGCUUUGGAAUACAGCUCUCAAAGCUGGCUGUAUUCAGAUGGAGCUGUGCUUCAGAGCUGCGCUUCAAAACCUUGUGGAGAACGUACCCGCAGGGGGGACUGUAAUUGCCAUGUAUUUUGACCAUAAUGAUAUGGGGGAAAGAACAGGGGCAGCUGUAAGCAAUAAAUGAGAUGUUACGUCUGA